RNAcentral lists this long non-coding RNA (1280 nucleotides) under Marmota monax (woodchuck). The record is from RNAcentral. Lineage: Eukaryota; Metazoa; Chordata; Mammalia; Rodentia; Sciuridae.
GGGAACCCUAAAGUUUGCUUAGAACAGGGUGAGAUGGACUAGAAAGGGUACAGCUAGUGGCAGAAACCGCAUCCCACGUCUGCCAUUUCCUCUCCUGGCGCCCUCCCCGCAGUCCAAAGACUUUUAUUAUGGCUUUGUGGAUCCUGUGCCUUAUUUUGUAGUCCUUGUGGGUGCUAUUUUUGCCUGUUUACUGAAAGCAUCAUCAGCUUUCCCCCGAGUGAUCCAUUGUAGCUCUGACCAUUCAUUCAUUCAAUGCACACUCACCAGUCUUUGCUUUAUAAAUAUGUGGUCGAUGACCACUAGGGGGAAGCCACUUCAAUAAGAGAGUUUCAGGUGGUUUUUAUUGAUCUGCGAUGGUGUAAAGGUAGGAGAAAAGACCCAGGGACUUCUGCGGUUGUUGCCUUUGGACUUCUUGCCAGUCUUCCUUUGGGGGAGGUACCUGGGAUUGAGCUCAGGACCACUUGACGACUGAGCCACAUCCCCAGCCCUACUUUGUGUUUUAUUUAGAGACAGGGUCUCACUGAGUUGCUUAGCGCCUUGCUUUUGCUGAGGCUGGCUUUGAACUCUCAUUCUCCUGCCUCAGCCUCCCGAGCAUCUGAGAUGGUAGGCAGGCACCACAGCGCCCCGCCAGCCCUCCUUUGUUUAUUCCACAAUGUAGCCCACCAGGUCCAUGUGUGCUGACUGCUGGGGUCUGUGGGCUUAACCUGUAGCACUUGACCUAGCUCAUUGCCGUUCCCAGGAUUCCAUCACAUCCUCUACCCAGUACCCUUCUGACCCUCUGCUGUGUAAUCAGCAAAGUAUUGGCUGGCUCCUAGAGGAACCAGAAAUGCUGAGACCUUUGGUGCUGAGGCAGAGAAUCUGACUGCAUGGAUGAGUAAUCUGGCCAUUUCUCUUUUGGGUAGGGGAAGAAAGCCAGUUCUCUAGUCCAGUUCCCCAAUCGACAUCCACAACUCUGCUGCUCUCACCACCCUUGGGGGUAAUUGUGGCAAACAAUAUUUUUAAGUUCUGCAAAUUUUUGUGCUUGAAGAAAUUGCCUACUGUUUUUCCCUCAUGCAACAGCAACUUAGGCAAAACACAUCUCUGCUGGAUUAGGUAUCACAAACAAAUAUCUGUAUGAGAAAAAUCAUUAAAAUUAAGCAUAUUUUUGAUGGGUCAGGAUUCCCCUGAGGUCCUUUCCAUGCACCGGUUAGUUUACUGGACUGGUCAUGCCUCCUCUUGCUCUCAGUGGGCUGAACAAGAAUCACCUUGUUUUAUUGUCUAAUUUUGCUGCUAAACACUAC